AGAGAGAGAGAGAGAGAGAAGAGCCAAAUCUCAACUUCAAUGGAAGAGCAAUAAGGCUACAAAAAGCAAGCAAGGGUUGCAAUACUUCCCUGAUAGAACCAACAAAUAAACCAAUUUAAGCAAGAAUGAGAAAACUCAAUCCUCAAUGGAAAAACUAGAACCUCUAAAACUCAAACAAGAACCUCUUAUCUGGUGAUUAUCUCUCUCCAAUACUCUUUCCAUCUCUUUCUUUGGAUCUCAUUGUUUCUCUUCUUCCUCUUCUCUAUGAAAUAUAAAGCAAGGAAAAGUGGGUCAGAUGAAAUUGAUAUAGGUGUUGCAUUAUAGAGGAGCAAGCCUAGCACUCUUCCUCAAUCCUUAAUCUGUCAAUUAUACAAUUACUGAUUUUGUCAUUUCAUUCCCUCUUCUACAAGUUGAAGAUUGUGAAUUGUGAUUUAACAAUUUUUAAUACCCGUUAUUAAGCAAAUCCCACACAUACAGAAACAAAGCUUGGAUUAUUCAAUAUGUAAUCAAUCACGAUUAUAAUAUACAAAACAAAGCCAAAUGAAUUAAUAAGAGUACCUAAUGCGAUAAUAGUAACCUUGCAGAAGGCAAACAACUAUGAACCAAGCACACCAGAUCUAAGUGAAUAGCCCUCAAUGAUUUUGUAGACUUGGUGGACCCUAGCACCAUCCAUGAACCUAAUAUAGUCCCAAGCUCCAACAUGCCAAAAUGAGGCUCUACUACUGGCUGCCCACGGCACACCUCUAAAAUGUGCAGGUGGUCGGCUGCCCAGCGGUGUUGUGGUUAGGAUGUCUUAGCUGUAGGUGAUGUGGUUUUGGAGUGGGAUCCAGGACCAGUGAUGCCACGAGGAGAAGCUUGCCGGUGUCUAGCGUCAACCCUACCUCUCCACAGGCAAUGCAGAGUGACGCUAUGCAAUGAGGGCUAGGCAAACUGGCCAUUGCACUAAUUGCAGGACUGGUUCCUGCAUGAAUCAGGAGCUCUAGGAGGUUGCAGGUAAGAUUAUUUUUUACAGAGGGCAAAAUGGGGGCAAAAUUUUUUAUAUUUUUAACCGGUAAACCUGAUAUUGCAGGUAAAAGUGACUUUUUUUGAAAUAAAACUAAAGUUUGAGUGAUUUUAUUUUAAGAAAUUGAAGUUCAAAGAUAGCAAUGAAAUAAUCCCUUAAGUUCAGGGACGGUUGGUGCAAUUAAGUCCAAUAGUAAGGUGCAUUUAGGUAUCAAAUAUCUAUUUGAGUACCUGAUACUGUAACUUCAGAGCUAGGACAAUAAUACUCAAAAUAGUUAUUAUUCACAUGAGAUCCUGAGGCUAAGUUUGGUGGAUCUUAACCAUGAUAGGCAUUUCAUUGACCUUUUGUUUUAACUAGUUCCUUGUAUUUUCAUUAGUGUGGAAGGAAUAUAUCCUCCAAACUUAUAUUUUAUUCGCUCUUACUGCAGAUCCCACCAACAAGUGUCCCUGUUAUUGUGCGGGAGUAUCGGAGGGAGCACUUGUGGAUAUAGUUUUGCAUGGACAUUAUUAUUGGGCUAGUAAGGGAUUUCAUGUUGAGUUUCAGUUAAGGAACCAAGCUCACAGUUGUGGAAUUGAACACGAGAUGAUAACAAGAUCUAUAAAUUCUACAGCAUUUAGUUGUGAUAUGGGCUUUGCCCAUAUGAUGAUUUUGUGCCUUGUCAAAUUUACUUUGUAUUAUUUGUUUUUCUUAGUAAUUGUGC
RNAcentral lists this unclassified non-coding RNA (1703 nucleotides) under Hevea brasiliensis (rubber tree). Lineage: Eukaryota; Viridiplantae; Streptophyta; Magnoliopsida; Malpighiales; Euphorbiaceae. The record is from RNAcentral.